GGGUAGAGCACUGUUUCGGCUAGGGGGUCAUCCCGACUUACCAAACCGAUGCAAACUCCGAAUACCUGGAAGUGUCAGCGUGGGAGACACACGGCGGGUGCUAACGUCCGUCGUGAAAAGGGAAACAACCCAGACCGUCAGCUAAGGUCCCAAAGUUAUGGUUAAGUGGUAAACGAUGUGGGAAGGCUUAGACAGCUAGGAGGUUGGCUUAGAAGCAGCCACCCUUUAAAGAAAGCGUAAUAGCUCACUAGUCGAGUCGGCCUGCGCGGAAGAUGUAACGGGGCUCAAACCAUACACCGAAGCUACGGGUGCAUCGCAAGAUGCGCGGUAGAGGAGCGUUCUGUAAGCCUGUGAAGGUGAGUUGAGAAGCUUGCUGGAGGUAUCAGAAGUGCGAAUGCUGACAUGAGUAACGACAAUGGGAGUGAAAAACUCCCACGCCGAAAGACCAAGGGUUCCUGCGCAACGUUAAUCGACGCAGGGUUAGUCGGUCCCUAAGGCGAGGCUGAAGAGCGUAGUCGAUGGGAAACAGGUUAAUAUUCCUGUACUUCUAGUUACUGCGAUGGAGGGACGGAGAAGGCUAGGCCAGCUUGGCGUUGGUUGUCCAAGUUUAAGGUGGUAGGCAGAGAUCUUAGGUAAAUCCGGGGUCUUAAUGCCGAGAGCUGAUGACGAGUCAUCUUUUAGAUGAUGAAGUGGUUGAUGCCAUGCUUCCAGGAAAAGCUUCUAAGCUUCAGGUAACUAGGAACCGUACCCCAAACCGACACAGGUGGUUGGGUAGAGAAUACCAAGGCGCUUGAGAGAACUCGGGUGAAGGAACUAGGCAAAAUGGCACCGUAACUUCGGGAGAAGGUGCGCCGGCGAGGGUGAAGUAUUUACUACGUAAGCCCAUGCCGGUCGAAGAUACCAGGCCGCUGCGACUGUUUAUUAAAAACACAGCACUCUGCAAACACGAAAGUGGACGUAUAGGGUGUGACGCCUGCCCGGUGCCGGAAGGUUAAUUGAUGGGGUUAGCGAAAGCGAAGCUCUUGAUCGAAGCCCCGGUAAACGGCGGCCGUAACUAUAACGGUCCUAAGGUAGCGAAAUUCCUUGUCGGGUAAGUUCCGACCUGCACGAAUGGCGUAACGAUGGCGGCGCUGUCUCCACCCGAGACUCAGUGAAAUUGAAAUCGCUGUGAAGAUGCAGUGUAUCCGCGGCUAGACGGAAAGACCCCGUGAACCUUUACUGUAGCUUUGCACUGGACUUUGAGCCUGCUUGUGUAGGAUAGGUGGGAGGCUUUGAAGCGUGGACGCCAGUCUGCGUGGAGCCAUCCUUGAAAUACCACCCUGGCAUGCUUGAGGUUCUAACUCUGGUCCGUUAUCCGGAUCGAGGACAGUGUAUGGUGGGCAGUUUGACUGGGGCGGUCUCCUCCUAAAGAGUAACGGAGGAGUACGAAGGUGCGCUCAGACCGGUCGGAAAUCGGUCGUAGAGUAUAAAGGCAAAAGCGCGCUUGACUGCGAGACAGACACGUCGAGCAGGUACGAAAAGUAGGUCUUAGUGAUCCGGUGGUUCUGUAUGGAAGGGCCAUCGCUCAACGGAUAAAAGGUACUCCGGGGAUAACAGGCUGAUACCGCCCAAGAGUUCAUAUCGACGGCGGUGUUUGGCACCUCGAUGUCGGCUCAUCACAUCCUGGGGCUGAAGCCGGUCCCAAGGGUAUGGCUGUUCGCCAUUUAAGUGGUACGCGAGCUGGGUUUAGAACGUCGUGAGA
Molecule: ribosomal RNA, 1741 nt
Filed under: Pseudomonas nitroreducens
Lineage: Bacteria; Pseudomonadati; Pseudomonadota; Gammaproteobacteria; Pseudomonadales; Pseudomonadaceae
Description: bacterial LSU rRNA
Rfam family: Bacterial large subunit ribosomal RNA
Source: RNAcentral